CCCUUAGGCGUUCUGGGCCGCACGCGCGCUACACUGACCAGUGCAACAAGCAUCCGUCCUUGGCCGACAGGCCCGGGCAAUCUUUGAACGCUGGUCGUGAUGGGGAUAGACUUUUGCAAUUUUUGGUCUUCAACGAGGAAUUCCUAGUAAACGCAAGUCAUCAACUUGCAUUGAUUACGUCCCUGCCCUUUGUACACACCGCCCGUCGCACCUACCGAUUGAAUGGUCCGGUGAAGCCUCCGGAUUGGCGCGCACCUCGGUGCCGCCGAGAAGUUGGCUAAACCUUACCAUUUAGAGGAAGGUGAAGUCGUAACA
RNAcentral lists this ribosomal RNA (315 nucleotides) under uncultured eukaryote. RNAcentral's name for it is "partial 18S ribosomal RNA". It matches the Rfam family "Eukaryotic small subunit ribosomal RNA", at positions 1470 to 1796 of the family's 1831-position model. The record is from RNAcentral.